Molecule: ribosomal RNA, 433 nt
Filed under: uncultured bacterium
Lineage: Bacteria
Description: partial 16S ribosomal RNA
Rfam family: Bacterial small subunit ribosomal RNA
Source: RNAcentral
AACGAACGCUGGCGGCAUGCCUAACACAUGCAAGUCGAACGAGACCUUCGGGUCUAGUGGCGCACGGGUGCGUAACGCGUGGGAACCUGCCCUUAGGUUCGGAAUAACUCCCCGAAAGGGGUGCUAAUACCGGAUAAUGUCUUCGGACCAAAGAUUUAUCGCCUUUGGAUGGGCCCGCGUUGGAUUAGCUAGUUGGUAGGGUAAAAGCCUACCAAGGCGACGAUCCAUAGCUGGUCUGAGAGGAUGAUCAGCCACACUGGGACUGAGACACGGCCCAGACUCCUACGGGAGGCAGCAGUGGGGAAUAUUGGACGAUGGGCGAAAGCCUGAUCCAGCAAUGCCGCGGGAGUGAUGAAGGGCUUAGGGUUGUAAAGCUCUUUUACCCGGGAUGAUAAUGACAGUACCGGGAGAAUAAGCUCCGGCUAACUCCGUG